RNAcentral lists this ribosomal RNA (253 nucleotides) under uncultured bacterium. RNAcentral's name for it is "partial 16S ribosomal RNA". It matches the Rfam family "Bacterial small subunit ribosomal RNA", at positions 524 to 776 of the family's 1533-position model. The record is from RNAcentral.
UACGUAGGGGGCAAGCGUUGUCCGGAUUUAUUGGGCGUAAAGAGCGUGUAGGCGGCUUUACAGGUCCGUUGUGAAAACUCGAGGCUCAACCUCGAGACGCCGGUGGAAACCGUAAAGCUAGAGUCCGGAAGAGGAGAGUGGAAUUCCUGGUGUAGCGGUGAAAUGCGUAGAUAUCAGGAGGAACACCUGUGGCGAAAGCGGCUCACUGGACCAUAACUGACGCUGAGACGCGAAAGCGUGGGGAGCAAAACGG